This 1067-nucleotide long non-coding RNA is filed under the name Salmo salar (Atlantic salmon). Its description in RNAcentral is "lncRNA (ENSSSAG00000093982.1)". The record is from RNAcentral. Lineage: Eukaryota; Metazoa; Chordata; Actinopteri; Salmoniformes; Salmonidae.
GCCUCUCCCUCAUCCCUAUGAGGUGGAGGGACAUUACAAGGCCUAUAAAAGAUAGCCUCUCCCUCCCACAUUCUUCAACACUAGGAGGAGCACUCAAGAGGAGAGGACCUGAGCCCUAGGACUAUGCCUCAGGACUACCUGGCCUGAUGACUCCUUGCUGUCCCCAGUCCACCUGGCCGUGCUGCUGCUCCAGUUUCAACUGUUCUGCCUGAGGCUAUGGAACCCUGACCUGUUCAGCGGACGUGCCACCAGUCCCAGACCUGCUGUUUUCAACUCUCUAGAGAUAGCAGGAGCGGUAGAGAUACUCUGAAUGAUCGGCUAUGAAACGCCAACUGACAUUUACUCCUGAGGCGCUGACCUGUUGCACUGACGACAACCACUGUGAUUAUUAUUAUUUGACCCUGCUGAUCAUCCAUGAACAUUUGAACAUCUUGGCCAUGUUCUGUUAUAAGCUCCACCCGGCACAGCCAGAAGAGGACUGGCCACCCCUCAUAGCCUGUUUCCUCUCUAGGUUUCUUCCUAGGUUCUGGCCUUUCUAGGGAGUUUUUCCCAGCCACCAUGCUUCUACACCUGCAUUGCUUGCUGUUUGGGGUUUUAGGCUGGGUUUCUGUACAGCACUUUGAGAUAUCAGCUGAUGUAAGAAGGGCUUUAUAAAUACAUUUGAUUUGAUUUGAAUUUGAUAUUAUAUAUUAAAACAGAAUAUUAAAACAGUGGCUACACUAACUCUAACCCUAGCUGUUUUAGACCUAGAGUUACAUACUAAGGCUGGAAUUCUAUUUAAUCAAACACACAAUGCAACUAUAACAGCAUUGCUGAAAAAAAUACAAGGUUUACAGGGUCAAACUAAUUAAAACAAAAACUUCCAAUUAAAAGGAACAUGUCUGAUGCAUUUUGCCUUAAGCUACAAUAAUGACACAUUUUCCAUAAGAUGUCCUGAAAUUCAACUUUUUACAUUACUUUAAGUGAAAUGAUCAUGAGUCAUUAUUCUUUAUUUUGAAGCUAGAAAAAGUUAUCAUGACUGUGCAGACAGCAACUUCUUUUGUGUUGUAAAUCAAAUACAGUGCCAG